UACGGGGGGGGCAAGCGUUGUUCGGAAUUACUGGGCGUAAAGGGCCAGUAGGCGGCCAACUAAGUCGGACGUGAAAUCCCCAGGCUCAACCUGGGAACUGCGUCCGAUACUGGAUGGCUUGAAUUCGGGAGAGGGAUGCAGAAUUCCAGGUGUAGCGGUGAAAUGCGUAGAUAUCUGGAGGAAUACCGGUGGCGAAGGCGGCAUCCUGGACCGACAUUGACGCUGAGGCGCGAAAGCUAGGGGAGCAAACGGG
This 253-nucleotide ribosomal RNA is filed under the name uncultured bacterium. RNAcentral's name for it is "partial 16S ribosomal RNA". It matches the Rfam family "Bacterial small subunit ribosomal RNA", at positions 524 to 776 of the family's 1533-position model. The record is from RNAcentral.